GUUUGACGGUGGUUGUUGUGUUUGUUGUUGGAAACGAUGGUGGUUGGGUUGAUGGCGGAGAGAAGAGAAAAGGGAUGUCGGUGUUGUAUUUGUGGUUUGCUCGGAUUCGUCGGAGCUGGAGCUCCUCACCGGAGCAACAACGAAGAUGAAGAGGUCGGGUUGUUUGGUUGUUUAAUCGGAGAAGCUAGUUGUUGGUAUUUGCAUGGUGGUUG
This 212-nucleotide long non-coding RNA is filed under the name Capsicum annuum. RNAcentral's name for it is "long non-coding RNA (CANN_LNC002432)". The record is from RNAcentral. Lineage: Eukaryota; Viridiplantae; Streptophyta; Magnoliopsida; Solanales; Solanaceae.